This 188-nucleotide ribosomal RNA is filed under the name uncultured bacterium. RNAcentral describes it as "partial 16S ribosomal RNA". It matches the Rfam family "Bacterial small subunit ribosomal RNA", at positions 707 to 892 of the family's 1533-position model. The record is from RNAcentral.
CACCAAUGGCGAAGGCAAGUUUCUGGCACCUAACUGACGCUGAGGCACGAAAGCGUGGGUAGCAAACAGGAUUAGAUACCCUGGUAGUCCACGCCCCUAAACGAUGUCAACUGGUUGUUGGGAAUUAGUUUUCUCAGUAACGAAGCUAACGCGUGAAAUUGACCGCCCUGGGGAGUACCGGCCNCAAG